GAUGAGAAAUCUCUCCAUCAAUCUGACAAGCCCUGACUUUUGAAGAUCAUAGAAAAUUGCUUUCUUCAUAUGAGAUUGACACGGAGACAAUUGUCAAUGACGAUGCUUGUAAUGCUGUUGAUGACGACCAAUCUAAAAGAAUCACUUAAUAUUGUAGGAAAGGACUUAAAUCAAAGAGAGUUCUGGACCGUGAUAUUCAGUGAGUAUAUAUGCUACUUGUAGGGAUCAUCGGCUGCAAAGUUUCCAAAUAAUUCUCCUCAUUCAUUCUGCAACUAAGGGAAUUUUGGACAACCGGGUGUAGAACGGAAGGAGAAGAGUUGGAAAGAAAGUGUACAGUGCGUGCUCUAUCUUUGUUUUGAAGGGGGUAUUUAUGUUGUACAGUUCUGGGUCUCAUCUUCUUUAUUCAAGUUUCGACUGCAUAAUCUUACUGUGAUGUUAUGCCUACUUUCU
Long non-coding RNA from Hibiscus syriacus, 450 nucleotides. RefSeq lists it as uncharacterized. The transcript is spliced from 3 exons. The record is from RefSeq and is a predicted model, not a curated record. NCBI's taxonomy places the organism in Eukaryota, Viridiplantae, Streptophyta, Magnoliopsida, Malvales, Malvaceae.